Molecule: ribosomal RNA, 206 nt
Filed under: uncultured bacterium
Lineage: Bacteria
Description: partial 16S ribosomal RNA
Rfam family: Bacterial small subunit ribosomal RNA
Source: RNAcentral
UGCGUAGGCGGUGCGGAAAGUCGGGUGUGAAAUCCCCCAGCUCAACUGGGGAAUUGCGCCUGAAACUGCCGUGCUCGAGGAAGACAGAGGUACGCGGAACUUAGGGUGGAGCGGUGAAAUGCGUUGAUAUCCUAAGGAACACCGGUGGCGAAAGCGGCGUACUGGGUCUUAUCUGACGCUGAGGCACGAAAGCUAGGGUAGCAACG